GCAGUAAGAUUAAGUCAUUCGUUAUGGUGCUGUACUAUCGUGUAUACACUCUCUAUUUAUUAAAUAACUACAAUUAUGCUUAUUUAUAUGCGUAGGGGACCUGGUGACCCAAGACACAGGCUUCAUUUAUCUUGGACAUAGGCUUCCACCAAAUAUUUACAAAGAAAAGGAACUGAUGUUUGUGAUGAAAUUUUAGAAAAUACUACAUAUUGAUUACACUCUCAUCGGUUUUCCGUACAAUAUCCACAGGUGGAUGUGGAAUAGUCUUAUUCUGGAGUUGAAUGGGAAUCAUACGUUCAAAAAUUGAAUGAAGUUGCAAUCAAUCCAUCUCCAUCGUCUGUCAAGUCUGUUUUUCCAUCUGUCACGCUUUCACAACUAAAUUACUGAGCCAAGUUUUAUGAAAUUCCAAUUAUUAUAUAGCUAAUGACGUACCUACUGUCUCCUUUUGCCAUAACGUGUAUGCAUAGUAUAAAAAAUAGAGGUGUGGCCGCAAUGACGAGUACAGUCAACAGCACAUAAAGUUACUAUAUGAAGCUCUAUAACGCGGUAGUAGCGGCGAGUUUGCAAUGAAUUUGAGUAGGUUGAUGUGCUGUUGACUGUACGUAAUGGAACAUAGUAAUACAUGGUAAAUGUAUUUUAUGUUUUAUGGUAGACCCCCAUUUCCACGAACAGAGCUGUGGGCAAUCACGAUAAAAUUUAAAUAAAAAGAUUUUCUAUCUGACAGGCAUAAAACUAAAAAAAAAUGUGAUUUCUUAUUCCGUAUCGUACAGUACCUAUUCCAGUGAAGUUAAGAUGUAUGAAUGCUCUCGCGCGCUGGCGUUGUAAAAUGUUACAUCCAUUAGUUAAUUCUAGCUCUUCGUCUAUUUUGCAUAUUGGCCUGCUAUGCAAAUCCGGCGAGAGAAUAUUAAAUCUACCGAUACUUCCCCCUCUGCCCCCUCUACUCCGCGCCGCUGAACUUUGUGAUUGGCCGCGGUUUUUUUUAAAUAUAGGGAAAAUCACACAAGUCUAUCUGGUAGUGACCAGAGAACACGUCUGAGAAUCGUCAAAUUAUCCAAAUAUCGACAAGUCUUAACACGGAGGUUAGAAUACAAAUGCGAGCCAUUCGUAGUCAAAUAUCCUUGCAUACUACACAUAUAUCUUCUACAUUAGCUAAUGAAUUGGAAGGCAUUUAAUGGAUCCGUGCAAGAUGACAAGCGGU
Plodia interpunctella (Indianmeal moth) is the source of this 1198-nucleotide long non-coding RNA. RefSeq lists it as uncharacterized. Lineage: Eukaryota; Metazoa; Arthropoda; Insecta; Lepidoptera; Pyralidae. The record is from RefSeq and is a predicted model, not a curated record. The transcript has 3 exons.